Molecule: ribosomal RNA, 500 nt
Filed under: uncultured bacterium
Lineage: Bacteria
Description: partial 16S ribosomal RNA
Rfam family: Bacterial small subunit ribosomal RNA
Source: RNAcentral
AUUGAACGCUGGCGGCAUGCCUUACACAUGCAAGUCGAACGGCAGCACGGGAGCAAUCCUGGUGGCGAGUGGCGAACGGGUGAGUAAAGUAUCGGAACGUGCCCAGUCGUGGGGGAUAACGUAGCGAAAGUUACGCUAAUACCGCAUACGAUCUAUGGAUGAAAGCGGGGGAUCGCAAGACCUCGCGCGAUUGGAGCGGCCAAUAUCAGAUUAGGUAGUUGGUGGGGUAAAGGCUCACCAAGCCGACGAUCUGUAGCGGGUCUUAGAGGACGACCAGCCACACUGGGACUGAGACACGGCCAAGACUCAAACGGGAGGCAGCAGUGGGGAAUUUUGGACGAUGGGCGAAAGCCUGAUCCAGCCAUGCAGCGUGCAGGAUGAAGGCCUUCGGGUUGUAAACUGCUUUUGUACGGAACGAAAAGGUUUGGCCUAAUAAGCUGAGCUCAUGACGGUACCGUAAGAAUAAGCACCGGCUAACUACGUGCCAGCCGCCGCGGUAA